RNAcentral lists this ribosomal RNA (450 nucleotides) under uncultured bacterium. RNAcentral describes it as "partial 16S ribosomal RNA". It matches the Rfam family "Bacterial small subunit ribosomal RNA", at positions 354 to 796 of the family's 1533-position model. The record is from RNAcentral.
GUAGGGAAUAUUGCGCAAUGGGCGAAAGCCUGACGCAGCGAUGCCGCGUGAGUGACGAAGGUCCUAGGAUUGUAAAGCUCUUUUCUGAGGGAAGAACAUGCCGGGUAGGAAAUGAUCUGGUUUUGACGGUACCUCAGGAAUAAGGAACGGCUAACUCCGUGCCAGCAGCCGCGGUAAUACGGAGGUUCCUAGCGUUGUUCGGAAUUACUGGGCGUAAAGGGAGCGCAGGCGGACAGGUCAGUUUAAAGUGGAAUCCCAGGGCUCAACCCUGGACGUGCUUUGGAUACUGCCUGGCUUGAGUUCGUGAGAGGAAAGUGGAAUUCAGGGUGUAGCGGUGAAAUGCUUAGAUAUCCUGAGGAACACCAGUGGCGAAAGCGACUUUCUGGCACGAAACUGACGCUGAGGCUCGAAAGCAUGGGUAGCGAACGGGAUUAGAAACCCGGGUAGUCC